GGAUGGAAUUUAAGUUUGAACAAACUUGGAAUGCCAAGUGGAAAUGGAUACUAAAAAUUCUUCAACAGAGUCCCAACCUUGAACACCUUAUUAUUCACCAAGAAAUAGAAAGUGAAAAUGGAAUCAAUGACAACAAUUGGGAGGAUCCAGGGGAAUGUGUUUUAUCUCAACUUCGAACUUGUCUGUUUAGAUUGUGGAGCGGCACAGAGUGUGAGAUUAAAUUUGCAGCAUACAUUAUGUGGAAUUCAAAAGUAUUAAGUUCCAUGACAAUUCGCUGCUCCUCUUCCAUAAGCACAAAGACAAAGGAUGAAAUAUUACAUAAAUUAUCUAUUUGUCCAAGAGACUGUAAACUUAUAUUUGGUUGAUGAGAUCUUGAUUUGAUUGU
Molecule: long non-coding RNA, 385 nt
Organism: Vicia villosa (hairy vetch)
Lineage: Eukaryota; Viridiplantae; Streptophyta; Magnoliopsida; Fabales; Fabaceae
Exons: 2
Source: RefSeq, a predicted model, not a curated record